CCGCUUCCGGGGCAGAUAUGGCCAUGGGUGCUGUGCCCACUUGGUGCCGAUUUCAAAUGCUUAUGGGUAGAUUGAAGAGUAUUGCACUGAAUAGGAGUAGUCGAUAUUUCAGUACUUCGGGUAUCCAGUAUGUCUCGCUGCACUAACUGCAGCGGGAAUAAAUCUGGACGGGACCCCCACCCCUGCUGCCUGGACUGUACAACCCCGUGUACCCUCAUAGAGCAGUGCAGAUACUGUAGUCCCGUCGCCAGUUUCCUUCACUGCCUACCUACGAGUGUCUCGGAAACGUUUCACUCAACAUGUGCGUCGACACUCCAACAUGCCAUCCAACAUAGAGUCUGCCUCCCAUGGCUCGACAUACGACCGUUCACGGUCUCCUACACCACCCUUACCGUCGCCUGCUUCGACCUCUUCGUCUGCAGCAUCACCCGUAACGAGUUUCCUGUCUCUUCUACCAUCUACAUCGACAAUUCCAGCGCCGCCGAUGUAUCCGGCACCUCUGAUGACUCCGACGCCUCUGACUCUGGCGUCUCUGAUGACUACGGCGCCUCUGAUGUAUCUGGCGCCUCUACCUCCAGUGCCUCUGACUACUUCGGCGCCUUUGACUUGUGCGGCGCCACCUACGUAUGGACAUGCCCUCCUGUCAUUGUUUAUAGAUCCAUCUUGGAUGCAAGCUUGGAUGCAGUCAUUGUUUACGCAAGCUACUCCCGCCUCAGUGGCGGCCCCGACUACAGAUACUUCAAUUCCUGCGGGCCCCUCUCUUCGGGUGCUCAUCGGUCUCGAUCGUCGUACACCUCGUCGCCUCCGACUCCUUCUCGGCACUCAUCCAAGUCAGCUCGAUCCCGUCGCCGUUCUCGUAGUCGCUCACCCGUACAUAGACGUCGACGUUGUUCCUCCUCAUCGGAAGGAUCAUUUCGACCCGAUUAUGACCCUCCAUCUCCCUAGAUUGAUACACACUUGGGCCUAUCACAGGUUGCUGAUUGGCUAGCGGACCGUUUGACCUCCGUCGCUCCCUCCCCGGGCUCCGAUGUCGACAAAAAAUCGACGAUUUGGUCUAACCCGACUUCGCUUCCACCCGACCCAAUAGGGGGUGUAAGUAGGUCACGGGACUACGCGAGACCUAACGUUAUUUAGUACUUCCGGUGACAAACAACGUCUUGCAGCAAUGGCGGCAGCAGUGUCACGUCGGGCAGGGCCCGGCAAAUCAUAUUUGGAAAACGCAGGUGUAACUUAAAAAAACAUGACACUGUCACAGUCAUUAAAACACUCGAGAUGGGGAACAUGAAUAGCAAGUGUUGGCUUGUCAAAGCAGUUGCAGUGUUGUCAAGACGUCCUAUGGUUGAUGUCAAACUGGCCGCUACCCAUUCAUAAAUAUUGAGUUGGACCAUAUUUCCAUGUUUGAGGGGAGAAAGAUUUCCUCAUCUUACUCACGAGUAGAUGCAUAUGGAUCACCAGAAUUACCUUGAUGCCAAGCAUAACUGCACCUCAAGAGCAUCUCAGACUAUAACAUAUCUUCAGAUUUCUUGGAAUAUUUUGUGGUCAAGCAUUACAUUGCCUAUGAAAGAACAACUCUUGUUGUGUAUACAUAUUAACAUAUUAAAGUUCUAUCUGAACAUUUUGCUGAAGUAUUGGCUCUGUAAAUGAUGUCUGUGACCAUCAGAAUACACCAUAUACACUGGACACUUGCUGGAACAGGACCUACUUGUCAUCAACAUGGUGUUGCAGAACAUCUUGGGACUCUCCCAUAAAGUCCAGUGUGAAUCUAGAUACUGACACCAGUAACAGUGCAUGCUGGCACAUUUAUUUGUUCAGGCUUGGCAUUUGGGAAUAUUUUCCAUGAAUGUUUAAUACUCAUGACCUUGAAAUAUAAUUAUUGAAUAGA
RNA transcript from Haliotis rufescens (red abalone), 1882 nucleotides. It is a transcript of the gene named 39S ribosomal protein L49, mitochondrial-like, with no coding region annotated. NCBI's taxonomy places the organism in Eukaryota, Metazoa, Mollusca, Gastropoda, Lepetellida, Haliotidae. The transcript is spliced from 3 exons. The record is from RefSeq and is a predicted model, not a curated record.